Molecule: long non-coding RNA, 6441 nt
Organism: Lycium barbarum (goji berry)
Lineage: Eukaryota; Viridiplantae; Streptophyta; Magnoliopsida; Solanales; Solanaceae
Exons: 2
Source: RefSeq, a predicted model, not a curated record
UGGGCGGCGGGGCUGGGUGGAGGGGAGGGGGGCGGCGGGUAGCUAGGGUUUGAGGGGAAUGGGAGUUUAAUUGGGAAGAGGAGAAGAAAUGGGUAUGAAAACCCGUCUGGAAUGUUUUUAAAGAAAAACCGACGAACAAAACCAACCCUGUCCGUUGGUUUUUUCUGCACGUUUGACCAGAUUUGACCCAAAAAUUAAAAAAAAAAAAAGGAAACCGACCCUGUCCGUCAGUUUCCUAAAAAAAAUUGUUUAUUAUUUAAAAAAAAAUAAAAAAUUGAAUUGCAUAUUAUUUAAAAUAUUUCUAUUUUUUAAACCAACGUCGUCCGUCGGUUUUAUAUUAAUUAUUAAUUUUUUUUAAUAAAACCGACGUUGGCGGAUAUAUAUUUUCAAAAUUCUGCCAAAAAAACCGACGUCGUCCGUCGGUUUUCUAAUUAAAAUAAUUAAAAAAAAAUAGAAAUGUAAAAAACUGACGCAGAGAGUCGGUUUUCCGUCGGUUUUUUAAACCGACACUGUGCGUCGAUUUUUUGUCCGUCGAUUUUUGACAGUUUUUUAGUAGUGAUGCUUAAUUUUCUUUUCAGAUCUCUCCUCCUCUGUUGUGACUUUGUGUUUUUUGUUUGACCCUGCUUGUGAUCGUCCUGCAAUUGACUUAUGUUUGUAGUUGUGUUAGCACUUCAUGAUUUUCUCAUUUCAUAGUCCUAAUCCUCCAAUAUGGUAUCUGCGAUUUAUCACUAUUGAGGAUCCUCUUUUGUGCACUCACCAAUUCCAUAAUAUUCUGGCACCUAAAAUUCCUUUUAUCUAGUGCAUGAUAAUCUAGGGAAUCUGCUAACGUGUUUCCUUCCCAUAGAAUGUCAGUAUACUUGACCUGAAUUCCUCUACCAAUUUCCCAAAUCUCCUCAAUCCACAUAGCAAUGUUCCAAGGUGGCUUCCAUUUCUAUAAUAAAAUUUGUUAUAUUAGUUUUUGAAUCAGUCUGAAUGAUUAUGUUUUUCGUCUGCUUAUUUUUACUAAAUUCGAGAGAUAAAAGGAUUGCAAUAGCCUCUGCUUCAGUAUUGGUUGAGUAACCAAUCUCCUUUGCUUGGGUAUUGAUUAGAUAUCCUUCUGAAUCUCUCAAACAUAAACCAUAAGAACCUCUUCCUGGGUUCCCCCUUGAAGCAUCAUCUGUAUUAUACACAAACCAACCUUUUGGGGAAAAGUCCAUGAACUUUAGUAACUUCAGUAUAGCUUCCCCCCCUUCCAGCAUUUGAAUCAUAGAACUCCAUCUGUACGGUACCUACCUUAUGGAUGUAUUUCUAACUUGUACUAACCUUUGAAUUGUUGAGGACACUUGGUAAAUGCUACUUCCCACUGUCCUUUUUUCUUCAUGCUUUAUAACAUUUCUUCUCUUCCACAGUUCCCAGAUAUAAAUAGCAGCAACUGCUUGAAAUAUUGGUUUGACCCUAUUUGUAACAAGGGCUUAUCACCAUUUCACGAUAAUAUGUUGUAGUUGUAAUCCUUCCACAUUAAUACAUGCAAAAGAGCAAAAGUAGGAUUAGGUCCUGUUAGCUGAAACUGUCUUGGCAAAUAGAUGUUGAAUUUUUUCCUCCCCCGGAUUUUCACAACACCAACAUCUAGAUACCAUAUUAUACUUCAUCUUCCUCAGUACAUCAUCCAGUGGUACUUUGUACUUCCAACACCUCCAUAGAAAGAAUGAUAUUUUAAAAGGAAGCCCUUUCAUUCACAUGUGCUUGUAGAUCUCAUUUUUCUGCCCUCUCAACCUUAAAUAAUCCCAAGCAUACUUCACAUAAAACUGCCCUUUUGAAUCAAGUAACCACCAAGGUUUAUCCAUCUCCUUCAGCAAACAUGGUGGCUGGAUAGUAUCAAUGAAGUGUUAUACUAUGUCUUGAGGUAGUAAUUCAUGUAACAGCUCAGUAUUCCACCUUGCAUUCUGACUGACUUCAUUGGCAUUCUGAAUUUUCUCAUCAUAGUAUUAAUAUGUUGUAGCAUAAUAUAGUGCCCCCAAUCCUGUCCAAUUAUCAAACCAAAAUUGAGAAUUUCUCAUUUUUGUGCCAGCAUCUCUGAUGCUCUAUCAAUUAUUCCCUUGCUUAUAACAUUUUCUUCCAUGUCGGAGAACCAUAUCUCCUUUGUGUUAUCACUGCAUUCACCUCUUACAAUUUUUUUUUUUUUUUUUUUUAAAAUACUCUAUAGUGAAGGUUUGGUUCUAAAAUUCCACCAUAGCUUACCCUACUAAGACCAUAAUCCGUUCAUGAUUUUCAUAAGAACUGGAUUAUAAAAAUCCUUCUUUCUCCCGCUGUAGAAAAUUGGACACCCAAAGUAAGUAGAGGGGAAUUCCUUUUUGCCUAUUCUAGUUGUAGUUUCCACAAUUAUACUGAUAUCUCCUAAUACAUAAUGGUGCAUGAAUGCUGAACUCUUUUCCUUAUUGACUCUCUGCCCUAAAGUCUUCUCAUAAUUCCCCUGUACCUCCAUUAUCAAUUGUAGUGAAAAUAGGUCUAAUAAGGAAAAAAUGAUCUUAUCAUCUGCAUAAGCUAGGUGAUUGAUAUUAGGACCCCACUUAGUCAUCCCAUAACUUUUUUUUUAAAAUUGUUUUUAUUACAUAGGGGUAGGGGAAGGGGAAAUGGGGGAGGGAAUUACAGCGUGGGGAUUCGAACCCUCACUAACAAGGUGAAAGUUCAGUAGCCAACCAACUGAGCUACUAGAUCCCUACAUCCCCCUGAAUUGUGGAACUUGAUGUAAACCAUUCAGAUUUCUGGAUAAUACCUCAACUGUUAUUAUGAAAAAGAAAGGGAUAGUGGAUCCCCUUGGUUCACUCCCCGUGAUGAUUGAAAAAACCCUUACUGUUGUCCAUUGAUUAGGAUAGAAUACCCGUUGUUGCUGAAAAUUUAGAAAAUCAUAUCAAUUAAUCUUUUUGAAAAGCCCAGUUUCCUUACCACCUUAGUCAAAAAUAGCCAAGAGACCUUAUUAUAUGCCUUUGCCAUAUCCAAUUUAAUCACCACAUUAGUAGUUUUGGCUCGUAGUCUUAUAUCUGAUAUGAUUUCCCGAGUCAGUAAUAUAUUUUUCACAAUACUUCUCCCCUUUACCAACUCAAUCCAUUUCCAACUUUUCCCACUGAGAUACUACCUUUCUCUGUUGGUCUUACUAAUCUCCACAAAAGGAAUCUCUUUAUUAAAGUUUAUCUUCUAUUAAAAAUGAUGUCCUUGAAAUCGUGUUAUGAACGUUAUAUGUGUGAGAUAUCACAUGAAUUUAUCUUUUUCUUAAAUGGUGAUAAUUAUUUUCAUAAAUGAGACAAAAGUAGUGCUGAAAUUUUCUUUACAAGUGAGCAAAAAAACGUGUUUUGAACGUUAUAUCACAUGUAUUUUUUUCUUGAACGAUAAUAAUUAUAUUCGUAAACGAUAAAAAAGUAGGUGUGGAGUUCUCUAAACAAGUGAGCAAAAAAACAUGUUUUGAACGUUAUACAUGUGAUAUUUCACAUGUAUUUGUUUUUUUCUUGAACGGUAAUAAUUAUAUUCGUAAACGACACAAAAGCAGGUGCGGGGUUUUCUGUACAAGUGAUCAAAAAAUGUGUUUUGAACGUUAUACAUGUGAUACUUCACAUGCAUUUAUUUUUUUCUUGAACGGUAAUAAUAACAUUUGUAAACGACACAAAAGUAGGUGCGGAGUUUUUGGUACAAGUGAGCAAUAAAUGUGUUCUGAACGUUAUACAUGUGAUACUUCACAUGUAUUUGUUCUUUUGUUGAAUGGUAAUAAUAACCUUUGUAAACGACACAAAAGUUUGGUGCGGAGUUUGUUGAAACAUGUGAUUAAAAGUUAUACACGAUGUAUCUCACACCAUAUACACCCAUCCAGUUUUAACUCUUGUUAUAUUUCCCUUUUACCAAUGAUACACUAGCGUUCUCUCUGCCGCAUCUCAAUUAGAAAACAUGUUUUCAGUGGUACAUAGGAUGUAUCACACAUAAAUAUGUACUCUUCCACUUUCUACCUCAAUCUCUAUCUGCUCCUCUUUAUAUUCGGUUGCUCACUACUACACCACUUACUGCGACUAUAAACAGGCUCGUUACUGAAUUUCACUUAUUGCCAUCUUUGCACCUCUCAAUAUUCCUUUUCCCAUCGUGAUACUAGCUUUCUUAGAAAAAGUUAUCAUCAAAGCCCAUCACCAAUAAUCAUUGAUAAAAUCUACCACAAACCACCAAUGACAUUCAAUCCUUUGUGAGCCAAGCUCUCCUAGAUGACAAAGUUAAGAAAGUUAUUAUGCAUCACUUAAUUGCCAAGCUUAAACUUAAGUUCAGUUGUCCAUAUACAAGCAAAGAACAUAUUCUUCCAAGAGAAGUUAUGGAAGCGUGCAUAAGAAGCUGGGUAUCGACUCUAAUUCUCCUAAAGCUAACCCUUGGAUUCUCAAAUCUGCUUUGUCGAAUUCACUGAUUCCCUCUCACUGGCAUAAGUUCUUCAAAAUGUGGAAGGGAGUUCCAUCAAUAGACUACCUUCCUUUCCAUAUUUAGCUGUUCCAAGGAUAUCAAGAAGGAAAGGAAGAAGCGUGAGGGAAAAUGUAGCAACAUGUUUCUAUCCCUUCAAAUCAUCCCGGAAGAGCUUCAACCUAUUUGACCUGAAAAAUGGUACCAGUAAUUUUAGCGAAGAAAAUUUAAUUGGGAAAGGAGGCUAUGCUGAAAUUUACAAGGGUUGUUUGGCUGAUGGUCAGCUUGUCGCAGUUAAGCGCCUCAACAAAGGUACAACAGAGGAACAGGAACCAAGCUUCCUAUGUGAAAUUGGUACUAUAACACAUGUACCAUCCUAAUACAUUCAGAGGAGACCCGCAGAUUGUUUUACCAAAAUUGUGCAGAUUUUGGAAGAUUUAAUAAUGUCAGCUAGUAUAGUACCUGAUGCACAAAAUCCUUCAUAAGUAGAAUAUUAUCAGCUUUGGUAUCUCUGUGUAUACUCCGCCUUUGGCGAUUAUCAUGAAGAUAAAGUAGGCCGUGUGAUUUUGUACCUGGCGACCUAAUCUAAGCUUAUCCCUUGAGCCUAAAAAAAUUGAAAACAGUAAAGUGCCUUGUGUUAAGAGCAUAAAUGGGCGGUUAAUCAAUUACAAGAACAAAAAUUUUGUCCUGUAAUGAGAAAUUUUGAGACAGACCACGAAAAAAAUGAUCCUAAGCUCCCUUGAGAAAAUAAUUGAAGAACAAGAUAUGUGCCUCCUUCCACUCCAUAGCCAACCAUCCCUGCAGUAUUAUGGAUGGUCUACAUGUGCUAUAGUACCAAUUUCACAUAGGAAGCUUUGUUCCUGCUCGUCUGGAGUACCUUUAUUAAGGCGCUUAACCGCGACACGCUGACCAUCAGGCAAACAACCCUUGUAAACUUCAGCAUAUCCUCCAUUGCCAAUCAAGUUUUCUGUCAAAGAAAAAGAUCAACUCUAGAAUACACAUUUAUGCUCUAAAACUUUCUCAAAAAUGAAAUAGAAUCAUGGGAGCUUCGUGAAAGAGUAGUAGAUGUAGAAAUGUAUUAGCCUGAAUGCCAAAAAGAGAGACGUCAAAUCAGAUUAUAAACCUUCGCUAAAAUUAUUGGUAGCAUUUUUCAGGUCAGAUAGGGUGAAGUUCUUCCAGGAUGAUUUGAAUGGAUCGAAACACGUUGGUGCAUUUUACCUCACGCUUCUGCUUUUCCUUUUGGAUAUCUUUGGCACAGCUAAAGGUGGAAAAGAAGGUAGUCUUUUGAUAGAACUUCUUUCUCACAUUUUGAAGAACUUGUGCCAGCGAGAGGACAUUCGUGGAUUUGACAAGCAGAGCUGAGGGUUUAGCUUUAGGAGAACUGGAGCCAUUCUCCUGGUUUCUGAUGCAUGCUUCAAUAACCCCUCUUGGAGAAGAAUCAUCGUGGUUCUCGUUUUGCAUCUCAAGCAAUCUGAGGUCUACAACAAAAUAUGAUCCAUCAGAGGCGAAACAGAAGAAAAAACAAGUCAUACACAAUGUCUUUUUUGGAAUACAGCUGAUGUCACCUUGAGCAGAAGCCGUGGAGGAGAGAUUAUUAUUCUGUCCAGCAACAACUUUGUUUUCUGAGGUAUGUACUGCAUCAAUACUUAUUUCAGCAAUAGUUUUAACUUAUCCGAAUCAUAUCAAAUCACAAACUAACAGACUAACUCUUUCCUCUUAUGCUUUCCUUGGUCUUGCAUCAAGGAAAGUAGAACUAAUCCCAAAACCAUGAAUUCAAUAUGAUUGCAGGAAGUUCGGGUUUAAAGCAUAUAUUCAAGCAAGGCAACAAGGUAGCAGAUGACUAGCAAAGUACGGAAGUAAUUCGGAUGUUUUUGAAAACUUAAUAUUCUAUGAUGUACCCUUUUUUUUUUUUUUUUUUUCUUUUUUUUUUUUUUUAUGCUUUAGCAUCUUAUGAAAAUGAUCUAGGUACUUGUAUCCUAGACAAAUCAAGCUAUGUAAUAAACUUUAGUAAUAAUAAUAGUAGUUUCUUGAAAAUGAAAA